Molecule: ribosomal RNA, 530 nt
Filed under: uncultured bacterium
Lineage: Bacteria
Description: bacterial SSU rRNA
Rfam family: Bacterial small subunit ribosomal RNA
Source: RNAcentral
AGGGCAGCAGUAGGGAUCUUUCCGCAAUGGACGCAAGUCUGACGGAGCAACGCCGCGUGAGUGAUGAAGGUUUUCGGAUCGUAAAGCUCUGUUGCCAGGGAAGAACGCCAAGGAGAGUAACUGCUCUUUGGGUGACGGUACCUGAGAAGAAAGCCCCGGCUAACUACGUGCCAGCAGCCGCGGUAAUACGUAGGGGGCAAGCGUUGUCCGGAAUUAUUGGGCGUAAAGCGCGCGCAGGCGGUUUUUUAAGUCUGGUGUUUAAUCCCGAGGCUCAACCUCGGUUCGCACCGGAAACUGGGAGACUGGAGUGCAGGAGAGGAAAGUGGAAUUCCACGUGUAGCGGUGAAAUGCGUAGAGAUGUGGAGGAACACCAGUGGCGAAGGCGACUUUCUGGCCUGUAACUGACGCUGAGGCGCGAAAGCGUGGGGAGCAAACAGGAUUAGAUACCCUGGUAGUCCACGCCGUAAACGAUGCAUGCUAGGUGUUAGGGGUUUCGAUACCCUUGGUGCCGAAGUUAACACAGUAAGCAU